UUGAAUGAACUCCAGGCACCGCAUGUCAGAGGAGAAUGGAAGGCGGUGGAGACUGCUGCUGGCAGGGAGCACAACAAGGCAAUAAAGGGAACUCUAAGUACGAGAGUUACCCCUUGGUCUUCCCCAACUGGGAUAUUGUACUCCGUGCUAUGUGUGAUGAAGCUGACAGCUCCUUGUCUUCACAUCUUGCAUAGGGCUGGUGACUUCUAUUGCAGCUGAAGGAGAAUGGGAAAUUGAUUUGGUUUUAUUUUUUGGCUAAUCUUGAAAUAAAAAAUUCUUUUGUGUUUGGAAA
This is a long non-coding RNA of Strigops habroptila (Kakapo), 292 nucleotides long. RefSeq lists it as uncharacterized. The record is from RefSeq and is a predicted model, not a curated record. NCBI's taxonomy places the organism in Eukaryota, Metazoa, Chordata, Aves, Psittaciformes, Psittacidae. The transcript is spliced from 2 exons.